AGAGGAAUAUAAAACACUCUGGUUAGAUGACAUUUACUCAAUACAUUGCCUUUCUGUAUUCUGCUAUUGAAGUUGAGACACCAGCUUUGUUUCCAGAUUCUGUAACUCCUAGAUCAAGUUCGAGAUUUUAUGGUUAGAUUUCUCUUAAAAAAGACUGUCAUACGCCACUUCUGUCCCUAUCCACAAAAGCAGGUGUACAUCAGUCUAAGAGCCACUCAUGCAGGAAUUUGCAUUAGAGCAUAUAUUUGAAAGCUAAUUUUUCAUUGUUCUCUCUGGUUGCUCAAAUAGAAACCUCUUACUGCAAGAACCAAUGUCCUUACCCCAUCAUCUCAUUCACUACCUCGGGGGAAGCUUUAUACAAGGCAAAAUGCUAUCUAAUUUCAUCAUUUACUUCUCUCUUCCCUGUCUGAUCAUAGCAGACAUCGUAACCCCUCCACAUAAACAUCAUCAUCAUCAUCAUCAGAUGCAACAAACAAAGCCCUGACUGUAAACUCCAAAACUAGGCUCAAACUCUGAAGUCAGCUCUAACUGACCAAAAACCUUUAACCAUCGUAUUUCAGGGUCUUGGCAACCCACAACCAUCUUUACUAAUGUCUACCUCAGUAGUCUAUUCUUGAAUGUUCUAAAAUUACCAUCUCCCUUGUCUCAGUAUUUUUACAAGUUGGCAUUUUCUUUGUGAUUACAUGAACAGACAUUCAUAUUUUCCCCCUCCUGAGCCAGGAUGUUAGAGACAAGCCUGGCUCAAACACCUCAGGAUGGCUAAAAGCAGUUUGAAAAUAUGAUGGGGUAUCUCUAUGGAAGUUAAAAUCCUGUCAAUGACAGAGCUGCACUUUGCUGUUAGUCAGAUACUUGAUUGCCAGAAAUUUUAGGUUAGCUUCUGGCUGCUCCAUUAAGCAAAUGAGCUUAGACAAGGGUUUUCAUUCUGUGUGCCUCUUUUUUUUUUUCUUUUUUCCUUUUUCUGCCAAUUGUGUAUAAUACCACCUUGCUAGUAAGAUCAUUGGUUGUGUAUUGAUAUGUAGCACACUUCUAAGAUUCUCAUCCUUCAGAAACCUUAAAACUCCUGAGCAAUGGCUUCUGCUUAGCUUGAUUAGAGUAGAUGGGAAUAAUAGGUUAAUGGAGUUAGACGUUCUGGUGCUUUCAUGGUGCUAUAGUUUGUGUAGAAAACAUAAACCCUUAUGAAGUAAGUGGCAAAGAAUGAACACUAUUAU
This is a long non-coding RNA of Pygoscelis adeliae (Adelie penguin), 1208 nucleotides long. RefSeq lists it as uncharacterized. NCBI's taxonomy places the organism in Eukaryota, Metazoa, Chordata, Aves, Sphenisciformes, Spheniscidae. The record is from RefSeq and is a predicted model, not a curated record. The transcript is spliced from 2 exons.